UACCCUAAUCAGGGAGAAGUAAAGGGCGUUAGGGGUAGCAUGGACCUGAUCUGUUCCUUGUGAUGUUAUGCCUGUGCAGGAUAAACCGGCAAACUGAGGAAGUACAAUCCACUGAUCCUGUCCACGCUGGCCUCUUUCAAACAGUUCCUCCUGGGUCUGGGACCGACACCUUUCAAACUAAGUCAUGCAGCUGCUGCUCCUGCUAAGGAAUCAAUGCGAGGCUGCUGGAUUUAAAGCUCAUCCAUCCCCUUGAACGUGGCGAUUCUGGCACCAGCUCUGCUAACCUCACCGCUGAUCUGGGCACAUUUUGUUUUGGACAUAGGAACUGUUGUCCCUGUCUCCUCUUUAAAGCGAAGGACUGCAGGGGAAGCCUGAGGUGUCUAAUCAGAAGUGGGGAAAAGAGUCAAGGUGUCUGCGCCUUCUCCAUCUCCCUUUCACAGCAGCCCACAGAACCGGCUCUGUGCUGGGGUGUGGACACUCCCCACCCUUAGAACUCCAGGAGGCUCCUGCUGGAGUGUUGCCGCUUCACAUCACCCCCAAGAUGGAGCUGCGAGCAGAUAACCAGGACCGAACCCUGGCUAUUUAAACCCAGUAUUUUUUUUUAAGUGCACAGGGCUCAGAUUGCUAGUGAUGUCUCCUCUGUGUCUCUUUCCGUCAGUAGCCAGUUAUCCAAACGCGGCCGCAUUUCGAUGCUCUCUUAUGAGCGUGAGGCACAUGCACAAACACAGAGGGAAAAACAACGCGGGCCACGUCUGAUCUCCGUUGAAAGACAUUUACAUUGAACGGAGAUACAUCACUAAUCUUCAGAGCAUCCUGACAGGCUGAGGCCGUAACAUACACUGAUGUCCGCCCCUCCCAGCAUCAGCUCUUCUGUGACUGUGGACUUCAAUGGGAGAUGGAUCAGACCCUAAUUCAUCUCAGUUGCUGCGUUCGAGCAUCAUGUGGCAAUGCCAACGUUCCAGUACUGCUUUGAAGGCAAGGUACCUGUACACAGGACAGUGCUGGAAAGUCACUUGGCCCAAUACAACAGGUACGCUUGGUAAACAGCAAAGUGAUCCAAACCUACCCAACAGCUUCCAUGUCACAUAUUAUUAGAGUAAAGACAAACAGGGUUAAUAUGUUACCUAAAGAAACUGGGCUGAUGGGGAUGAAUCCAGUUGUCUUCAACGGUUCAACACCAGAGCUGAAUUUGGCACACAGGGCUUAACAAUCCAUUUAGACCCUGAUUCAGCAGAGUACUUAAGCAUUUAAGUAUUAUGGACUCACUGACCUGUUUGUGUUGUUUUAUAGCAUCUGUCUGCUACACCUCUACCCUGAUAUAACACUGUCCUCUGGAGGCAAAAAAAUCUUACUGCGUUAUAGGUGAAACCGCGUUAUAUCGAACUUGCUUUGAUCCGCCGGAGUGCGCAGCCCCGCCCCCUCCGAAGCACUGCUUUACCGCGUUCUAUCGGGUCGCGUUAUAUCAGGGUAGAGGUGUACUAGUAUUGUCUCGAAUGCAAAAUAAAGUCAAGUCAAAAGAGCACAAGAGAAAAACACUGAGAAUGGACCCAAGCACUCAGGUGCUUGAAGCUAAGCAUGUGCUUAAAUGCUCUGCUAAAUCAGGGCUUUAGACACUAUAUGUAAUAGCCACUUCCCUUAUUAAAAUUCACCAGUAAGAGAACUCCUUGAGGGACCCACUAUAAUGUUAAAGGGAGCUGCCUGGCCUCAUCAGAGCACAGAUCCCCUUCUACACAGGUUAUUCUCAAAUGCAUACAUCUUUUGCUUCAUUUUAUCUCUGUAUGAUCCAUGAAAGACAAACCUGCCUCUUAACAAAAAUUAUCCCUUUCAAAUGCAAGGUUUGGUUAUAAUCCUCUCUAUCCCAUGAGAUGUGGUGUAGCAUCUUGGGAAGCAUAUAAUC
Molecule: long non-coding RNA, 1897 nt
Organism: Trachemys scripta elegans
Lineage: Eukaryota; Metazoa; Chordata; Testudines; Emydidae
Exons: 4
Source: RefSeq, a predicted model, not a curated record